Molecule: ribosomal RNA, 401 nt
Filed under: uncultured bacterium
Lineage: Bacteria
Description: partial 16S ribosomal RNA
Rfam family: Bacterial small subunit ribosomal RNA
Source: RNAcentral
UGGGGAAUCUUGCGCAAUGGGCGAAAGCCUGACGCAGCCAUGCCGCGUGGAUGAUGAAGGUCUUAGGAUUGUAAAUUCUUUCACCGGGGACGAUAAUGACGGUACCCGGAGAAGAAGCCCCGGCUAACUUCGUGCCAGCAGCCGCGGUAAUACGAAGGGGGCUAGCGUUGCUCGGAAUUACUGGGCGUAAAGGGAGCGUAGGCGGACUGUUAAGUUAGAGGUGAAAGCCCAGGGCUCAACCUUGGAAUUGCCUUUGAUACUGGCAGUCUUGAGUACGGAAGAGGUAUGUGGAACUCCGAGUGUAGAGGUGAAAUUCGUAGAUAUUCGGAAGAACACCAGUGGCGAAGGCGACAUACUGGUCCGUUACUGACGCUGAGGCUCGAAAGCGUGGGGAGCAAACA